GGGUGAUGGGGUGGAUCGGGUGGCGGAGAUGGCGGAGCUCGGGCUGGAGCGCUCACGGGAUGGAAGUCUCAUCUCGCACUACCUUGGCACCGCCAUGGGCUGCACCGGUGACCGGCCCCAAGUGCACAUGAACAACGAGGUGUGUUUGGCGUCAUACUUGACCGUGGUGCAGAACAUCUUGUGGUUCUACCCAAGGGUUGACACCGAGCACCGAGGCGAACUGCAGAGGUAGCAUCCCGCGUCCUUUGUCAACGUCCAUAGCAUCAAGGACCUCCUCACGCCCCUGUGCAGAUGGCGCUCGCUCAUGAUCACAGGAAACCGGAUGACGCAUGUGCCCAUUGUCUAUCAUCGACGACAAGGUUGGUUCUGUGUUAAGGCCCUGCAUCCUCAGGUAAGAGGCCAUGAUUCAUAAGGCAGGUACUAAUUGCAUCUUCAUCUCUAUUUUUAUUUGGUCUUGAUUUCUUUCACUUGGUGCUGCACAAGAUCAGGUCAGUUUGGAACCUCUGCCUCCCAAAUUCCUACGACAAAAAAGAUGCCCUUUCCAAGUACUACUUCAGCUUUUCUAUUGGAUAGAUAACAAUAAAACCACAACAAAUAUCUAUCAGAAUUGAUUAUAAUCAGGGAUAGAAGUAACUCUGUUUCAGCAGAGAAGCAACUGCCUUCACUCGAG
Triticum dicoccoides is the source of this 670-nucleotide long non-coding RNA. RefSeq lists it as uncharacterized. Lineage: Eukaryota; Viridiplantae; Streptophyta; Magnoliopsida; Poales; Poaceae. The transcript is spliced from 3 exons. The record is from RefSeq and is a predicted model, not a curated record.